RNAcentral lists this ribosomal RNA (253 nucleotides) under uncultured bacterium. RNAcentral describes it as "partial 16S ribosomal RNA". It matches the Rfam family "Bacterial small subunit ribosomal RNA", at positions 524 to 776 of the family's 1533-position model. The record is from RNAcentral.
UACAGAGGGUGCAAGCGUUAAUCGGAAUUACUGGGCGUAAAGCGUGCGCAGGCGGUUUGUUAAGUCUGUUGUGAAAUCCCCGAGCUCAACUUGGGAAUUGCAAUGGAUACUGGCAGGCUGGAGUAUGGUAGAGGAAGGUGGAAUUCCCGGUGUAGCAGUGAAAUGCGUAGAGAUCGGGAGGAACACCAGUGGCGAAGGCGGCCUUCUGGACCAAUACUGACGCUCAUGCACGAAAGCGUGGGGAGCAAACAGG